This 1323-nucleotide long non-coding RNA is filed under the name Phasianus colchicus (ring-necked pheasant). RNAcentral's name for it is "lncRNA (ENSPCLG00000021419.1)". Lineage: Eukaryota; Metazoa; Chordata; Aves; Galliformes; Phasianidae. The record is from RNAcentral.
UUGUUUUUGAACUGUUAUGUUUUUAUUGAAAGUCAUGCUGAGCUUUCUAAUGUAACAAGUCAUAGAAGCCAGCCUAUAGCAUAAAGUCAAACAACUCUGAUAGCAAAAACUGUGAAAUGGUAAAUCCAACAAAGGCGGAUUUUCAAAGCUGGAUAUGCUCAGCUGCACACAGCACCAUCUCGUGUGCAUAGUAUGUGCACAAAUAUUGCAUACGUUUUGCUGGAAUAAAUCACUGGGGUGACAUAACAUCUAUCUACAGCAUAUGAAAGAGCCUUAAUGGUACCUUUUUCAGACUGUGAAUUUGAACUAAAACUACAGAGUUCUCCUUGCUUCACCUGACAGAAAGUAGAGGGAUUAGGAGCUAUAAGACUUAGUGUAUUUCUUGCUCUGUGUUGUAUGUCUUAACACAGCAGGGAGUACAGCCCCAAAAAGCUAUCCAUUCUCCUCCUAUGCAAGUGUGUACAAAUGUCAAGACUGGCAUUUUGACUCUUCUUUCUGGAGAAGUUUAAUAGGGUGAAGCAUGUCCUAGAUUAAGGUACAGGACUUGCACAGACUUGUUACUUCAGUUACCUCCACUGAUUUUUUUCCUGAUAAAGGAAAUACAUCUGAUAUAUUCAUACAUAUAUAGGAUAUUAAUAUAUCAACUUUAGUUCCAAAUAUAUUCAACUCUUCUUGUAAAAAAAUGAAAAUUCGGGAGAAGGCAAGUUAAAACAUAUCCUUCUGAUUUAUAAAAGGUUAUGCAUUGCAAUUCCAUAUUCAAUAAGAGUCAAAAAAAAUGUUGCAACCUUUUCAAAAUCUUUUAUUAAUGUUGAUUUCUUGCUUAUCAGCUCAUAUGCUUAAACUGCACUGUCUUAAAAUGUGUUUAAUAUACGUCUGGUCUGUCAUUUACAGAUGGUUUGCCCUGUUUGUAUUGAAAAUGACAUAAAAGACACAAACAGAUUCAAAGAUGGCUCACAUUUACCUUCAACUUUGCCGCCAUUAUGUUCCCAGUCUACUGGAAAGCAGAAAGAAGACACAGGUGAAUUUCCUAGGCUUCUAAACACAACAAAAAUGGCCAGUGUUUGAAGACGGUGAGUUUGACAUCUUUAAUGCAACAUACCCUAUUCUGCAAUUUAAGUAUUUGUUUCUAACUCUUCAGAAUAUACUUGAACAUAAUCGUAUUUCUCCAGACACCUUUUCCUGCAAACCUUUGAUGUAUACAGAACUUUGGGGGUCUCUUUCUUUGGAGAUAUUCAGAACCUGCCUGGGUGCUUUCCUGUGCAACCUACUCUAGGACAUCUGUGUUAGCAGGGUUGUUGGAGUAGAUGAUCUCCAGAGGUCCCU